GUGCUCGCUUUGGCAGCACAUAUACUAAAAUUGGAACGAUACAGAGAAGAUUAGCAUGGCCCCUGCACAAGGAUGACACGCAAAUUCGUGAUGCAUUCCAUAUUGAA
This is a small nuclear RNA of Otolemur garnettii (small-eared galago), 107 nucleotides long. Lineage: Eukaryota; Metazoa; Chordata; Mammalia; Primates; Galagidae. The record is from Ensembl.